GGGAGCUGCUCCUCUGCUGCUGGCCUCCAUUAUACUGUGUGUGAAAUGGUGCAGGAGACCAGGGUCGUCUAAUGAAGCAGCUGUCAAAUACACUGAAGAGAAUGUGGAAGUUGACUUAUAAAACCUUCACACAGAAGCUGGAUCAGAGUGCUCAUGUGGAAUGAAGAACAUUUGAGAGCUCAGGAUUAUUUUUCAAUGUGAUGCUUCUCAGCUUGCAGGAGGGGAAAUCCAGGUUGGGGUGCAGUUAUGGGGACACUCAGUGAGUUUUGGGAAUGAAGCAGUCGUGCCUUUAGGGUGCAGGAUCUGUAUAAUAUAUCUGAGGUUCUGAUUCACCAGAGCUGCACUUGCGAUCUUUGUCUAAGUUAGUCAGCUUUGAUUGCUGUAUGUUUGUUUCAGGGUCCUUUGGGUCCUACGUUGAACUUUAUAUAUUAUGUAGUAAACUCAUCGCAAGCUUACAUACAGCCUAAACAGCGGAGACUCUGCAACAUGUUCAACAUGCAUUUCAUGUGUCUGCUUGUAUUAGUAUUAAAUUAAAUGGACUUUAAAGUGUGUUCUUUUUUGUUCCUUUUUUAUUUUGUUAACAUAUGAAAUAAAUGAAAAAAAUAACGUAUGUGUAAUGUAACAUCCCCAGUAGGUCAGUUAUACCACCUUCCACUGUGGUGAACAACACAAUCUAAUCCAAGUGUGAGGAGGAGAAACCGAACAGGAAUGCUGAGCUGAAUGUGGACAGAGAAGCUGAGGGCUCGAUUGUUUUUAUUAUAUUAUUUUUAUAUAAUUACUGUUAAUACUACUACUGUAAUAACAAUGUUACCAGUCAUAACUUUCUUGUCUUCAUUCUUCAUGGUGAUGAAUUGUGACAAAUAAAUAUUAAUAAAUAAGUAGGCUAAAGCUGG
Anguilla rostrata (American eel) is the source of this 893-nucleotide long non-coding RNA. RefSeq lists it as uncharacterized. The transcript is spliced from 2 exons. The record is from RefSeq and is a predicted model, not a curated record. NCBI's taxonomy places the organism in Eukaryota, Metazoa, Chordata, Actinopteri, Anguilliformes, Anguillidae.